AAGAUGCGGACUCUCCUUGGCUUUGUGCAUUGCUGCUGCUGCUGUUUCUUGCUCCUCCUGCCUCCGCCGCUCUGGGUCAGGCUGGCAGCGGCCAAGCAGCUCCUGAGGUACCGCUUGGCCGAGGAAGGACCCGCCGACAUCCGCAUCGGUAACGUGGCUUCCGAUUUGGGCAUCGUGACGGGCUCGGGAGAGGUGACAUUCAGCCUGGAAUCGGGCUCGGACUAUCUCAAAAUCGAUAACAUGACCGGGGAGCUGAGCACCACGGAGCGGCGCAUCGACCGCGAGAAGCUGCCGCAGUGCCAGAUGAUCUUCGACGAGAACGAGUGCUUCUUGGACUUCGAGGUGUCGGUCAUCGGCCCCUCGCAGAGCUGGGUGGACCUUUUCGAAGGCCGGGUCAUCAUCUUGGACAUCAACGACAACACCCCCACUUUCCCUUCCCCCGUCCUUACCUUGACGGUGGAGGAGAACCGGCCCGUGGGGACCCUCUACCUCCUCCCCACCGCCACCGACAGGGACUUCGGCCGCAACGGCAUCGAGCGCUACGAGCUGCUGCAGGAGCCCGGCGGGGACGGCGGCCGCCGCGCUGGGGGAGGAGGAGGAGGAGGAGGCGGCGGCGGCGUCGGGGGGGGAGGCUCGGCCUCGGCGGCCUCCGAGAGCGCCAUCUACCCCGGCGGCAGCAAGAGGCGGCAGGAGGCGGCGGACUCUGCGGCCCGGAGCAGCGUCUUCGAGCUGCAGGUGGCCGACACCCUCGACGGGGAGAAGCAGCCCCAGUUGAUCGUCAAAGGAGCCCUGGACCGGGAGCAGCGGGAUUCCUACGAGCUCAGCCUCCGCGUGAGGGAUGGCGGCGACCCGGCCCGCUCCUCGCAGGCCAUCCUGAGGGUCCUCAUCACCGACGUCAACGACAACAGCCCCCGCUUCGAGAAGAGCGUCUACGAGGCCGACCUGGCGGAGAACAGCAGCCCCGGCACCCCCAUCUUGCAGCUUCGAGCCACCGACCUGGACGUGGGGGUCAACGGGCAGAUCGAGUACGUCUUCGGGGCGGCCACCGAGUCCGUCAGGCGCCUGUUGCGGUUGGACGAGACCUCCGGUUGGCUCAGCGUCUUGCACCGCAUCGACCGGGAGGAGGUCAACCAGCUUCGCUUCACCGUCAUGGCCCGAGAUCGGGGCCAACCCCCCAAAACCGACAAGGCCACGGUCGUGUUGAACAUCCGUGACGAGAAUGACAACGUGCCCACCAUCGACAUCCGGAAAAUCGGGCGCAUCCCGCUACGGGACGGGGUGGCCAGCGUGGCCGAGGAUGUGCUGGUGGAUACCCCCAUCGCCCUGGUGCAGGUGUCGGACCGGGACCAAGGUGAAAAUGGCGUGGUGACCUGCACCGUGGUGGGUGACGUGCCCUUCCAGCUCAAGCCGGCCAGUGAGGGAGAAGGGGAACCCCAGAACAAACGCAAGUAUUUCCUCCACACCUCGGCCCCCCUGGACUAUGAGGCUGUCCGUGACUACAACGUGGUGAUUGUGGCUGUGGACUCGGGCAGCCCCAGUUUGUCCAGCAACAAUUCCUUGCUGGUUCGUGUUGGGGACACUAAUGACAACCCUCCUGUGUUCAGUCAGGCUGUGCUGGAGGUCUCCUUCCCGGAGAACAACUUGCCUGGUGAGAGGGUGGCCACGGUGGUCGCCACAGAUGCAGACAGUGGGAAGAACGCUGAGAUCACCUACUCCUUGGAGGCCUCACCCCUCUCCUCGGAAGCACCAGGUGGCAUCUUCACCAUCGACCCUGACUCUGGGGAUGUGUCAGUGCAGGCGGUGCUGGACCGUGAGCAACGUGACACUUAUGAGUUCCAGGUGACAGCCCGGGACAAGGGGGUGCCAUCACUGCAGGGCUCCACCACAGUGGUGGUGCGGGUGGCAGAUCGCAAUGACAACGAGCCACGCUUCAUGCAGGAUGUGUUCACUUUCUACGUGAAGGAGAACCUGCAGCCCAACAGCCCCGUGGGCAUGGUGACUGUGAUGGACUUUGACAAGGGUCGCAACGCUGAGCUCAGCCUCUCCAUCCAGCCCGGUGACCACGACCAGGCAACUGGUAUCUUCUCCAUCGAGAAUGACACCGGAACCAUUUUCUCCACCGUGUCUUUCGACCGGGAGCAGCAGACCAGCUACACUUUUAAGGUAAAGGCAGUGGAUGGAGGUGAGCCACCACGAUCUGCCACCGCCACUGUGUCCCUCUUCGUGAUGGACGAGAAUGACAAUGCCCCCACGGUCACCUUCCCCAGCAACAGCUCCUACACCGUGCUGCCACCUUCCAGCAACAUGCGCACUGUGGUGGCCACAGUGGUUGCCACUGAUGCUGACACUGGUCUCAAUGCUGAUCUCAACUACAGCAUCGUUGGGGGCAACCCCUUCAAACUCUUCGAGAUCGACCCGGCCAGUGGUGUGGUGUCACUUGUGGGCAAGCUGGCCCCCAAGCACUACGGCCUGCACCGCCUCGUGGUGCAGGUGAACGACAGCGGGCAGCCACCCCAGUCCACCACCGCCCUGCUCCACGUCUUCGUCAACGAGAGCCUGUCCAAUGCCACCGUGGUGGAGAGCCAGGUGGCCCGCAGCCUCCACACUCCCCUGGCCCAGGACAUUGCUGGUGACCCCAGCUAUGAGCUGAGCAAGCAGCGGCUUAGCAUAGUCAUUGGCGUGGUGGCUGGCAUCAUGACCGUCAUCCUCCUCAUCCUGGUGGUGGUCAUGGCCCGCUACUGCCGCUCCAAGAGCAAACACGGCUACGAGGCCGGCAAGAAGGACCACGAGGAUUUCUUCACCCCGCAGCAACACGACAAGGCCAAGAAGCCCAAGAAGGACAAGAAAGGCAAGAAGGGCAAGCAGCCCCUCUACAGCAGCAUCGUCACCGUUGAGGCUUCCAAGCCCAACGGGCAACGCUACGACAGCGUCAACGAGAAGCUUUCGGACAGCCCCGGGAUGGGGAGGUACCGCUCGGUCAACGGUGGUCCUGGCAGCCCUGACUUGGCCAGGCAUUACAAGUCCAGCUCGCCUCUCCCCACCGUCCAGCUGCACCCCCAGUCCCCCACUGCUGGCAAAAAACACCAGGCCGUGCAGGACCUGCCCCCGGCCAACACCUUCGUGGGCGCCGGUGACAACAUCUCCAUCGGGUCGGACCACUGCUCCGAGUACAGCUGCCAGGCCAGCAGCAAGUACAGCAAGCAGCCGUUUCGUAGAGUGACGUUUUCUGUUGUGAGUCAGCCUCAGGACCCGCAUCAAGGGUCAUUGCAGAGUUGCUAUGACAGCGGUCUGGAGGAGUCAGAAACACCAAGCAGUAAGAGUUCAUCAGGGCCAAGACUGGGUGCCCUUCCACUCCCAGAGGACAACUACGAAAGGACUACGCCGGAUGGCAGUGUUGGUGAGGCAGAGCAUAUGGAAAAUGAUUCAAGGCCUCUACCAGAUGUAGCCCUGACGGGGAAGUGUACCCGAGAAUGUGAUGAAUAUGGCCACUCAGACUCCUGCUGGAUGCCAGUUCGCACUUCUCCGGAGAGAAAGCAGAAGAGCCAGCCAAAACUCUCCACUUUCAUGCCUGUCGAUGAACGGGGCAGUCAGGAAAAACUGGCCAAUGGAGAAGCCUCCCUCAUGGGUGAUCGCAACAGAAACCUCCUUAACAAAAAGUUGACCUCAUCCUAUGAGACCUUCAGCGCGGCGAGUUUCAGCAAAAACGAAGAAGGCAACCCAGAGGAUAUCCCCCUUACACAGACAGGGGAAUACAAGCCAUCUCCUGUCAAUACUCUAACUAGAAGAGAAGUUUACCUGUAGGCUAAAAAAGCAGCAACAAAGUUCUUUGUGUGUUACAAGAAAGAAAAGGGGCAAAAUUCUGAAAAUCAAAACAAUUUGAACAAAAAUGAGAAACAAAAAAAGAAAAAAAAAGAGGGGGCCACCAAAGAGACAAAAGAUCUGCCUGCCACUUCUGCCUCCAUAGCAGGCAUUUAAUUCUACUGUCUGCCUGACUAUACUGUACAAUGUAGAAAACAUUGUUGUUACUUGCAUGUCUAAUUCCCCCUCACUGAUUUUUAUUUUCCUAAAUCUACGGUUGCAAAUUCCUCCCAUAGUAACGAGCUCGAUUAAAAAGAACACAACACACUGUUGUUUCCCCUCUGCAAAAGCAUGAGUUAAGCCACUCAUUUUGUUUGAUUGUCAUCUGGCUUGUUGAGGAUAACAGGUCAGGGAAAAAAACGUAUUCCAAACAUAUCAUCUGAAUAUUGCUGAUCCCCACCAGGGACAAUCCUUCAGAAACCAUACAGACAUAGAGCUAAAUAUAAAGGAAUAACCAUUAAUAGGCACUUUGUGAAGACCACAGCUUUAAUAUUCUCACCUCUCAUCUGAGGCUGGAAGCAACAGAAAUCUGUUCAGCCUGAGACUGCAGUCAAACCCAUGGCAUAUUUUCCUACGAUUCAUGAACUCUGGUUCUGUUUUAUCCAUAGAACAAGCGUGUUCUUGCUGUGUCUCUUUCUCUCCUCCUCUUUCAUUCUCUGUAACGGUUACUUCAACGUAAACACAACUAGUUUAUAACGCAUAUACUGUAGGAUAGUAAUGAUAAACUCUUAAAGUCAUUAUUUUGGGCGAGACUAACCUCUAGCUGGGAAGAUGGUAAUAACAAAAAGGCCAAAGAUCACACAAUGGAUCAGGGGAACUGCUAAGUAUUGGGGCUCGGCUUAGAAAACUAAUGUAUUUACAGACACCCGUGUACUCAUAACACCCCUUCAGUUACAUUUUGCACAGCAGCACAGUUCACGAGCCCAGAUGACACAAUUUUUUUUCUUUUCCCAUGUGGUUCAGUUGAAUGCCCAAAGGAACUGAUGUGAGGUGGGUUGUUUGGUUUGUUUGGGGUUUUUUUUGUAACGCCAUGAUAUGUUGCAGCAGGUGCUGCGUAUGAUAUGCUGCAUAUGCCAGUUCCAGGGAAUAUUUAAGAUCAAAAUGAAAACCCAGUAGUGGUAAUAGAAGGCUGUGUUAAUGACAGUGCUGGGGGGGAUGGAACAGGUGGGCAAUGGGAUGAUGUGGUGACAAGAGAAUAUUAAAAGUCAAACGCAAAACCUCCAUUUCAGAGUGCAAGGAAUGAGUGCUAAGGUUUUUUUUUGUCAUUGGUUACCAGUUGCUUCAACUAUGUCAAAGAUAUAAUGCAGGUUUUUCUUGAAACACAAGUGCAUUAAAACCAAGAGAAGUGCAAUACUAAAUGAUGUGAAGACUUGGAACUUUUAGGCUAUGUAGGAAAUGGUCUGAUAAACAGUGGUAUGAUACUCACCGAGCAGAUCAAAAUGAGUCAAAAGGAGUCCAAGCUGCCACGAUCCGCAAGAGCUCUGGGCUAUAACAGUCCUCACGGUGAGUGCUUCUUGAAAGGAAGAGGAAAGGAAACAGGUUUUUUGUGCAAUAAAAGCAACAAAACGGGCAGAAAUUCAACCAGUUGCUUUGUAGCUGACGCUGUAGUAAUAAAGACAGACCGAGCUCAGACAUUCAGAUGGAAAUGACAAUCGAACGACACAGCAAGGACAGCUCGAGGAAAGGGGGGAGUAUUUGAAUCCCUGGCUCUUUAACCUGGCAUUAGGGCAUGGCUAGAUGGCUCUCUAGAAUAUCGUAGUCACAACGUAGCUUUGGGUAGUUUACUGCUUUGAAGAAUUGCAUAGAAAUAACCUUAAAAGGCCUAAAGUAGAGGUUGGUAAAUCAAUACAACUCAUCACAUUUACCUUUUGAGUUACCUUUUCUUCCUGUGGUGGGGUGUGCCGUCAUGGGCCAUCUCGUUCUCCUCUCUCGGGUUUCCUUUCUUUAAGUAACAUUAGUUUGUGUAUAGCAGUUAUGACGAAUGGGCACACUUUUAGAAAGAAAAUAUUAAAAUCAAAGGUUAAUAACGAUUGAACAUUUUUAUGUUUGAUUAUUUAAGUAUAUGGAGAGAUGCAAACUAGUACUUUGUUACAAGACUGCGUACAGCAGUUACUGCUUUGUAUAAUCUGUAAGUACCUGUUUAAAGAUGCUUCUAAAAAUGCUUAUGUAAUGUAUACACAUUUUUCUUGCACGUUUCAACAGAAUACACAAUUGCAUAACACAAAUGUUCAACAGAAAUGUUCCUUUAAUAAGAUUUUAUUUAAUAUUACACAUACAAAAAAAAUAAAUUAGGUAGCUUGGUUCCAUAUAUUCUUAGACCCUUUUUCUAGAAGGUUAAUAAUACAGGUCAUAGAAGACCUUCGGAUUAAAUGGAUCAGCAGUCACUCACCAAUUUUUGCACCACAUAAGACAGUCAUUAAAUACUUUACUCGUGUGCAUCUCCUUAGAUCUAAGAUGGGUGUGAAAGAGGUUUUUUUUUUAAAAAAAAAAUAAAAAAUUCUAUCUACUGUAAGUAUUCACAGUAAUUCUAGUGGAACGAGCCACUAUUAAUAUGCUGAUUACUCUUCUGACCUGGCAUGACACACAAAUAUACUUUGUGUUUGUAUUUUUCCUCUUUAUUUGAAAUAGGUUAAAACUGGUGCCACUCCAUAAAUAGAGUGCUUUUGUAUAAAAAUAAAGAAAUAAAACUAUAAAAAAUAAUUAGGGUGAAUGCGAAAUAUGCAACUGUGCCUUUUAUACCUAUUAUUAUGGUAAAGUGGUAGUUGGGUUUGGACACUGAGGGAUAAGGGGCUAUUCCCAACUUUUUUGAACCUGUAUAUUUACUUGUGUUUAUUUUCUGAGAAAUUAUAAAUAAUAUAUUUAAAAACAAGCCUUUUGCCAAACUCAGUUAAUGGACCAGUCUUAAGCAUUAUUAACACAAGGCUGUGGUUUAAGUAGGUCUUGAGGAUUUUUUUUUAUUACUAUUUGUGUGGGAUUUGGGGUUGUUUUCACUUGUUUUUAUUUCUGCUGCCUGGAAAACUACGAUCAGUCUAUAUUAUAGUUAUUUAGCAAGGUGUCACCAGUUCAUGUUGCCAGGAAAAUUGUCAAUUAAUUUUCUUUUUUAAUUGCUUUUAGCCGUCAUCACAUUUCAGUUGUACAGCAUAGAAAUCAUCCUUUUAUUUCCUUCCAUGGGAAACUCAAAUGAGCUUUGCAUGUAUUUUACAUUAGGGCACCUUUAUAGAUUGAUGCGUUAAUAUAUAACUUUAUAUGUAUUAGAAAAUUCAAUAGCUUUGGUCUAAAAAUCUAAUGCUCAUUCUGGAUCUCAGAUCCACUAUGUUUAUUCAAUAUGGUUUCUGACUGGCCUGCUGCCUGAGUUUCAGGAGAAAAAAAAAAAAAAAGUUAAACCUUAUUUUUAUGUGGGGGAAGAACUUAAAUGGGAUUGAAAUGAUUGGCUGAAAGGCUACCCAAGGAGGUUGUCAAGCAGGAAAACAAAGAAUACGGAUAAAGACCUUGCUGUAAAUCCAGCCAUCACCAAACAUUUGUCAGGAACUUGAACAACGAAAUAUUUUUCCCUUCUGUUUCAUUGGUGAUAAAUAUACAGUGUUUCCUUAAGGAAUGAAGCAGACGAAAUAGCAAUAGAGCUGGAAGUCCAUCAGUUCAGUUGUGUUACUGACUGAAGAAGAGCAUAAAACACAAGGAAGACGACAACACUCACCAGCUACCUGGGUAUGCUUUCAGACAACUUUUUCCUAAAUUUUAAAGCACUUGCAUUCAGUGUGGUACGAUCUGUUUGUAAUAUUAAUCAUUGACUAUUGUUCUGCAACUUGGAUGUUGAUAGUGAAGCAGAGAACAAUUUAUCAUUGUUUAUUAUGAGUCACUAUGCACGCAACUAUGCUAAACAUGGCAAAAUGUAUUAAACGCUAGUCCACCUCUAUUUAUGAAAUAUUUACAUAAUUUAAUUUGCUUUUGUACAGUUUUAUGUAAAUAAAUUGCUUGUCAUUUUUGUCUGCAAAUUAAAAUAUAACAUGUUCAACUGGU
Calidris pugnax (ruff) is the source of this 7875-nucleotide RNA transcript. It is a transcript of the gene named protocadherin 7, with no coding region annotated. The record is from RefSeq and is a predicted model, not a curated record. The transcript has 5 exons. NCBI's taxonomy places the organism in Eukaryota, Metazoa, Chordata, Aves, Charadriiformes, Scolopacidae.